UCCAAGGAAGGCAGCAGGCGCGCAAAUUACCCAAUCCCGACACGGGGAGGUAGUGACAAUAAAUACUGAUACAGGGCUCUUUUGGGUCUUGUAAUUGGAAUGAGUACAAUUUAAAUCCCUUAACGAGGAACAAUUGGAGGGCAAGUCUGGUGCCAGCAGCCGCGGUAAUUCCAGCUCCAAUAGCGUAUAUUAAAGUUGUUGCAGUUAAAAAGCUCGUAGUUGAACCUUGGACCUGGCUGAUCUGUCCUCCUAAUCGAGCGCACGGAUUCGGUCGGGUCUUUCCUUCUGGGGAGCCCUAUGCCCUUCACUGGGUGUAGUGGGGAACCAGGACUUUUACCUUGAAAAAAUUAGAGUGUUCAAAGCAGGCCUUUGCUCGAAUACAUUAGCAUGGAAUAAUAGAAUAGGACAUCGGUUCUAUUUUGUUGGUUUCUAGGACCGCUGUAAUGAUUAAUAGGGAUAGUCGGGGGCGUCAGUAUUCAAUUGUCAGAGGUGAAAUUCUUGGAUUUAUUGAAGACUAACUACUGCGAAAGCAUUCGCCAAGGAUGUUUUCAUUAAUCAGUGAACGAAAGUUAGGGGAUCGAAGACGAUCAGAUACCGUCG
This 600-nucleotide ribosomal RNA is filed under the name uncultured fungus. RNAcentral describes it as "SSU rRNA". It matches the Rfam family "Eukaryotic small subunit ribosomal RNA", at positions 415 to 1020 of the family's 1831-position model. Lineage: Eukaryota; Fungi. The record is from RNAcentral.